Molecule: ribosomal RNA, 492 nt
Filed under: uncultured bacterium
Lineage: Bacteria
Description: partial 16S ribosomal RNA
Rfam family: Bacterial small subunit ribosomal RNA
Source: RNAcentral
GAUGAACGCUAGCUACAGGCUUAACACAUGCAAGUCGAGGGGAAACGACAUCGAAAGCUUGCUUUUGAUGGGCGUCGACCGGCGCACGGGUGAGUAACGCGUAUCCAACCUGCCCAUCACUUGGGAAUAACCUUGCGAAAGUAAGACUAAUACCCAAUGAUAUCCCACGAAGGCAUCGGAAUGGGAUUCAAGAUUUAUCGGUGAUGGAUGGGGAUGCGUCUGAUUAGCUUGUGGGCGGGGGAACGGCCCACCAAGGCACCGAUCAGUAGGGGUUCUGAGAGGAAGGUCCCCCACAUGGGAACUGAGACACGGUCCAAACUCCUGAGGGAGGCAGCAGUGAGGAAUAGUGGGCAAUGGGCGAGAGCCUGAACCAGCCAAGUAGCGUGCAGGAUGACGGCCCUAUGGGUGGUAAACUGCUUUUAUAAGGGAAUAAAGUGGGUCUCGUGAGACUUUUUGCAUGUACCUUAUGAAUAAGGACCGGCUAAUUCCGUG